This 63-nucleotide microRNA precursor is filed under the name Eisenia fetida (common brandling worm). RNAcentral describes it as "Efe-Mir-71-P2_pre stem-loop". The record is from RNAcentral. Lineage: Eukaryota; Metazoa; Annelida; Clitellata; Crassiclitellata; Lumbricidae.
UGAAAGACAUGGGUAGUGAGAUGCUGCCAAAUUCUCUGGUAUCUUACUACAAUGUCUUUUGAC